RNAcentral lists this long non-coding RNA (538 nucleotides) under Panax ginseng (ginseng). Its description in RNAcentral is "long non-coding RNA (PGIN_LNC004248)". The record is from RNAcentral. Lineage: Eukaryota; Viridiplantae; Streptophyta; Magnoliopsida; Apiales; Araliaceae.
GUAACCCCCGCUCGACCCAGCUAUACUCUUAUUACCUGAAAGGAAUUGUGAAGCAAAAGGGUGAGCACAACUAGCUCAGUAAAGAAUAUCAUGACUAAAGAUAAUUAAAUUAUCAAUAGCCUUCAUCAAUAAUAAAUCAGAGAUUUAGAACAUAUGGUAGAUGAUAAAAAAAAAUUCAACCGUAGUUGCAGCGAAACGAGCAAUCCAUUAGAAGAGUCAAAUAGACUAUAAAGUCUAUUAUCUUCACCAUGUUAAAAAUCCACCGACAAUGUUUUAUCCCUGUAACAUCAAUCAACAAUUCUGGUCCACAAUCAUAUGAAUAACUCAUAAUCAUAAUUGUAGUUCUAAAUUUCUCUUCGCAUCCAGGACGAAGAUAAUUUUCAUCACAUGUCUUUACCUGAAACAUCAAAGAUCAUGAUUAUAUCAAAUCACAGUUCCUGUUCAUAAUCAUACUAAUAAAUUCAUCUUUGCACUACGGCCAAAAAUAUUCGUCAACAGUUCAUAUUUGCACUACUGGCCAAUGAUAUUCAACAACAUG